CUAUACAUGCAGUCGAACGAAACUUUCUUACACCGAAUGCUUGCAUUCACCGUAAGAAGUUGAGUGGCGGACGGGUGAGUAACACGUGGGUAACCUGCCUAAAAGAAGGGGAUAACACUUGGAAACAGGUGCUAAUACCGUAUAUCUCUAAGGAUCGCAUGAUCCUUAGAUGAAAGAUGGUUCUGCUAUCGCUUUUAGAUGGACCCGCGGCGUAUUAACUAGUUGGUGGGGUAACGGCCUACCAAGGUGAUGAUACGUAGCCGAACUGAGAGGUUGAUCGGCCACAUUGGGACUGAGACACGGCCCAAACUCCUACGGGAGGCAGCAGUAGGGAAUCUUCCACAAUGGACGCAAGUCUGAUGGAGCAACGCCGCGUGAGUGAAGAAGGUCUUCGGAUCGUAAAACUCUGUUGUUAGAGAAGAACACGAGUGAGAGUAACUGUUCAUUCGAUGACGGUAUCUAACCAGCAAGUCACGGCUAACUACGUGCCAGCAGCCGCGGUAAUACGUAGGUGGCAAGCGUUGUCCGGAUUUAUUGGGCGUAAAGGGAACGCAGGCGGUCUUUUAAGUCUGAUGUGAAAGCCUUCGGCUUAACCGGAGUAGUGCAUUGGAAACUGGAAGACUUGAGUGCAGAAGAGGAGAGUGGAACUCCAUGUGUAGCGGUGAAAUGCGUAGAUAUAUGGAAGAACACCAGUGGCGAAAGCGGCUCUCUGGUCUGUAACUGACGCUGAGGUUCGAAAGCGUGGGUAGCAAACAGGAUUAGAUACCCUGGUAGUCCACGCCGUAAACGAUGAAUGCUAGGUGUUGGAGGGUUUCCGCCCUUCAGUGCCGCAGCUAACGCAAUAAGCAUUCCGCCUGGGGAGUACGACCGCAAGGUUGAAACUCAAAGGAAUUGACGGGGGCCCGCACAAGCGGUGGAGCAUGUGGUUUAAUUCGAAGCAACGCGAAGAACCUUACCAGGUCUUGACAUCCUUUGACCACCUAAGAGAUUAGGCUUUCCCUUCGGGGACAAAUUGACAGGUGGUGCAGGGCUGUCGUCAGCUCGUGUCCUGAGAUGUUUGGGUUAAAUCCCGCAACGAGCGCAACCCUUGUUGUCAUUGCCGCCAUUAAAUUGGGACUCUGCGAGACUGCCGUGACAACCGAGGAAGGGGGGGGGGAAAAUCAAUUUUCAGCCCCUUUAACCGGGGGACCACCUGUUCCAUGGAGGGUCAACAAUCCCCAGACCGCGGGUUAUUAAUCUUUAAACGCUUUCCUUCCGAAUGUGGGCGGACCCCCCCCCCAAA
This 1282-nucleotide ribosomal RNA is filed under the name Ligilactobacillus salivarius. RNAcentral's name for it is "bacterial SSU rRNA". It matches the Rfam family "Bacterial small subunit ribosomal RNA", at positions 49 to 1322 of the family's 1533-position model. The record is from RNAcentral. Lineage: Bacteria; Bacillati; Bacillota; Bacilli; Lactobacillales; Lactobacillaceae.